This 93-nucleotide transfer RNA is filed under the name Caldalkalibacillus thermarum TA2.A1. RNAcentral describes it as "Selenocysteine transfer RNA". It matches the Rfam family "Selenocysteine transfer RNA". The record is from Rfam by way of RNAcentral. Lineage: Bacteria; Bacillati; Bacillota; Bacilli; Caryophanales; Bacillaceae.
GGGAGCGGAUGCGAACCUGGUGGUCGCCCCGGUCUUCAAAACCGAGUGGGGGGCACGUGCUGUCCCUGGUGGGUUCGAUUCCCACACGCUCCC